UAAGGAAUAUUGGUCAAUGGACGAAAGUCUGAACCAGCCAUGCCGCGUGAAGGAUGAAGGUCCUCUGGAUUGUAAACUUCUUUUAUCUGGGACGAAAAAAGGGAAUUCUUUCUCACUUGACGGUACCAGAAGAAUAAGCACCGGCUAACUCCGUGCCAGCAGCCGCGGUAAUACGGAGGGUGCAAGCGUUAUCCGGAUUCACUGGGUUUAAAGGGUGCGUAGGUGGGCAGUUAAGUCAGUGGUGAAAUCUCCGGGCUUAACCCGGAAACUGCCAUUGAUACUAUCUGUCUUGAAUACUCUGGAGGUAAGCGGAAUAUGUCAUGUAGCGGUGAAAUGCUUAGAUAUGACAUAGAACACCGAUUGCGAAGGCAGCUUACUACGGUAAGUUACGAUUGACACUGA
Molecule: ribosomal RNA, 402 nt
Filed under: uncultured bacterium
Lineage: Bacteria
Description: bacterial SSU rRNA
Rfam family: Bacterial small subunit ribosomal RNA
Source: RNAcentral